GAACCAGGUUGCGGCGGUACUGC
This 23-nucleotide non-coding RNA is filed under the name Gossypium hirsutum (cotton). The record is from RNAcentral. Lineage: Eukaryota; Viridiplantae; Streptophyta; Magnoliopsida; Malvales; Malvaceae.